AGCGCGGGUGCGAGUCAGAGGGUGCAAGCCCGUGGGCGAAGUGAAAGCGAGUUUAAAAACGAGCAGUUUGGGGCGGCAUAAGAUCGUUGAUCUUAAGACUGACCCAGAGCAGUUGCGCUGGGACCCGAAAGGUGGUGAACUAUGCCUGAGUAGGGCAAAGCCAGAGGAAACUCUGGUGGAGGCUCGUAGCGGUGCUGACGUGCAAAUCGCUCGUCGAACUUGGGUAUAGGGGCGAAAGACUAAUCGAACCAUCUAGUAGCUGGUUCCCUCCGAAGUUUCUCUCAGGAUAGCGGGCCGACAAGUUGUUUUGUGCGGUAAAGCGAAUGAUUAGCGCAUUUGGGGGCGUUUAGCCUUCGGGCGAUUCUCAAACUUUCAAUGCGCAAGGGUGCCGCUGCUUAAUUGAGCGGUACCGGUAAAAACGUCGACCCAGUGGGCCACUUUUGGUAAGCAGAACUGGCGAUACGGGAUGAACCGUAAGCAAGGUUAAGGCGCCAAACUGCCCGCUUAUAGAUCCCACAAAAGGUGUUGAUUCAUCGAGACAGCAGGACGGUGGCCAUGGAAGUCGGAAUCCGCCAAGGAGUGUGUAACAACUCACCUGCCGAAUGAAUUAGCCCUGAAAAUGGAUGGCGCUGAAGCGGGCGGCCGACACCUUGCCGUCUGAACAAGAAUUUCAGAUGAGUAGGAGGGCGUGGCGAUCGUGUCGAAGCACGCGUGCAGACGCAUGUGGAACGGUCGCUAGUGCAGAUCUUGGUGGUAGUAGCAAGUAUUCAAGCGAGAUCCUUGAAGGGCGAAGUGGGGAAGGGUUUCACGCGAACAUUGAUUGGGCGUGAGUGAGUCGUUCCUAAGCCGCGUGGCAAUUGCUAAUUACCGGCGAAAGGGAAGCGGGUUGACAUUCCCGCACACGGAUGUGGAGGCGGCGACGCAUUAUUGGGGCGAACACGCUGGCGAUGGCGCUGGGCAGAGUUGUCUUUUCUGUUUGACCGCUUGCGCACGCAGUGUGGAAUCCUCUUGUAGGGAGAAACACGCGUGUACGGGCAGAGCGCUGGGGCUUUUCCAGCGUCCAGCUCGCCAUCGACGGCCCUUGAAACUUUGCCUGCUG
RNAcentral lists this ribosomal RNA (1099 nucleotides) under Ahnfeltiopsis chnoosporoides. RNAcentral's name for it is "eukaryotic LSU rRNA". It matches the Rfam family "Eukaryotic large subunit ribosomal RNA", at positions 677 to 1828 of the family's 3401-position model. The record is from RNAcentral. Lineage: Eukaryota; Rhodophyta; Florideophyceae; Gigartinales; Phyllophoraceae.